This 1189-nucleotide ribosomal RNA is filed under the name human metagenome. RNAcentral's name for it is "bacterial LSU rRNA". It matches the Rfam family "Bacterial large subunit ribosomal RNA", at positions 764 to 1977 of the family's 2925-position model. The record is from RNAcentral.
GAAUGGAGGACCGAACACACAUCCGUUGAAAAGGGUGGUGAUGAGGUGUGGAUAGGGGAGAAAUUCCAAUCGAACCCGGAGAUAGCUGGUUCUCCUCGAAAUAGUUUUAGGACUAGCCUCGUUAUUAGUCUACCGGAGGUAGAGCACUGAAUUUUUGCGGGGGCGUCAAAGCCUACCAAGAGAUAUCAAACUCCGAAUGCCGGCUAGAUGAUUGACGGGAGUCAGACUACACGAGAUAAGUUGGGUAGUCAAAAGGGAAAGAGCCCAGACCUACGGCUAAGGUCCCAAAGUGUGUGUUAAGUGGAAAAGGAUGUGGGAUUUCGAAGACAGCUAGGAUGUUGGCUUAGAAGCAGCCAUACAUUAAAAGAGUGCGUAACAGCUCACUAGUCGAGAGGUCCUGCGCCGAAAAUGUCCGGGGCUAAACACAACACCGAAGCCUGGGAAUGUAGUAAUACAUUGGUAGAGGAGCAUUCUUAGAGGCGUAGAAGCCAUACCGGAAGGAAUGGUGGAGUAAUAAGAAGAGAGAAUGCCGGAAUGAGUAGCGAGAAAGAGGUGAGAAUCCUCUUGGCCGAAUAUCUAAGGUUUCCUGAGUAAAGCUGAUCUACUCAGGGUAAGUCGGGGCCUAAGGCAAGGUCGAAAGACGUAGUCGAUGGAUAACAGGUACAGAUUCCUGUACUACAUAUAAUCAGAACUGUGGGGACACGGAGACUGAAACCGAACCCGGGAGGACAAAAACCGGGGCAAGCGAAGUACCUGUAUGGGAGGAAAAACCACCAUACAAGGGGAAAACGUGAUGCGUACCGAAAAUUAGUAGGGAAGUCGGUUAGGGAGCCGUCAAGAAAAGCCGCUAUUGUGUUAUAUGUACCCGUACCGCAAACCGACACAGGUAGAUGAGGAGAGAAUCCUAAGGCCGGCGGGAGAAGCAUUGUUAAGGAACUCGGCAAAAUGACCCCGUAACUUCGGGAGAAGGGGUGCCACUGGAAACAGUGGUCGCAGAAAAAAGGCUCAAGCAACUGUUUAGCAAAAACACAGGUCUAUGCGAAACCGCAAGGUGAAGUAUAUGGGCUGACGCCUGCCCGGUGCCGGAAGGUUAAGAGGAGAAGUCAGGAAACGAAGCUUUGAAUUGAAGCCCCGGUAAACGGCGGCCGUAACUAUAACGGUCCUAAGGUAGCGAAAUUCCUUGUCGGGU